CAUUAGGCAGUAAUCAGGCUGCACUUCUACUAUUUUCAUCAACCAACAUCCAGAGGCUGGAAGAGUGAGAGAAGGUAAAUGAGAAGACGACAGCUCAGAAGGCAUCGCAGAGCGCGUGGUACACGUUGCAUGGCCGCAGCACGGUAACGUGCUCGCGACGCAUCCAUGGCAAUGCAUGAACGGGACCCCAGGCAUCCAUGUUUUUGGUCCCUGGUGUGACCGGACCAGGUAUUAAGCAUUCCUGGGUGAUUGUACCUAGAUUUAAACAGUAGCCUACAAGAAAGAAACAUGAUGAAGCAAGUUAAACAAAACUGCCAGACGAGAAUGCUGCGGCCACUAGGUCUCAGAAAGACAACGUCUCAGACUGCAUUGCAGUUAACCUAAUUGCCUAAUGUGUGGGUCCUCCUAUGCCAAGCGACACCACUGACCAACAGCGACUGGAAGAAUUAUUUUCACAACCGCAAAAACAAUUGUGCGAUCUUCUUGUCUCUCUCUCUUAUAUGUGUAUGAGCAGGUCUCUUGCCCACUACACUUUCUGCCCAUCCUCAAACACGUGCGUUCGCUUUGUAUUUUAACAGGGCAAAGCAAAGCGUCUGCGGCGUGCAGUGCUACUGACAGCGGGGUCUACAUCAGUUUUGCCCUAUUAAAUAGCCCCCAUAGAGGGCCAAAUCCAGCCCGCAGAGACGCCCGAAAUUCUUCACUAAACUACUUCGGAAAAGCGGUUAAAAAAAAGUCUGUAUUUGAUAAGCGCCGCAGUCUUCUCUGAAGUUCGAGGUCUUCGCAUGACAACUGAGCGACUGAUCAUACAAAAAUUAUGGCAUUUUCGAUUAAAAAAAGACAAAUGUUGAAAUAUGUUCCACUCUCCCCUGCAUUCAUAAAAUUACAUUUUAAA
This is a long non-coding RNA of Electrophorus electricus (electric eel), 892 nucleotides long. RefSeq lists it as uncharacterized. The record is from RefSeq and is a predicted model, not a curated record. NCBI's taxonomy places the organism in Eukaryota, Metazoa, Chordata, Actinopteri, Gymnotiformes, Gymnotidae.